This 87-nucleotide non-coding RNA is filed under the name uncultured Lachnospira sp. RNAcentral describes it as "Glycine riboswitch". It matches the Rfam family "Glycine riboswitch aptamer", at positions 8 to 87 of the family's 94-position model. From Rfam's summary of the family: This family represents the bacterial glycine riboswitch. Glycine riboswitches usually consist of two metabolite-binding aptamers domains with similar structures in tandem. The record is from RNAcentral. Lineage: Bacteria; Bacillati; Bacillota; Clostridia; Lachnospirales; Lachnospiraceae.
CUCUCUGGAGAUUCUGAUAUAAUACAGAAGCCGAAGGUGCAACAUAUACAUGCGUAUAUGAAUCUCUCAGGCAAAAGGACAGAGAAG